This 377-nucleotide ribosomal RNA is filed under the name Bacillus sp. (in: firmicutes). RNAcentral's name for it is "bacterial SSU rRNA". It matches the Rfam family "Bacterial small subunit ribosomal RNA", at positions 202 to 569 of the family's 1533-position model. Lineage: Bacteria; Bacillati; Bacillota; Bacilli; Caryophanales; Bacillaceae. The record is from RNAcentral.
AAGGCGGCUUCGGCUGUCACUUAUGGAUGGACCCGCGUCGCAUAGCUAGUUGGUGAGGUAACGGCUCACCAAGGCGACGAUGCGUAGCCACCUGAGAGGGUGAUCGGCCACACUGGGACUGAGACACGGCCCAGACUCCUACGGGAGGCAGCAGUAGGGAAUCUUCCGCAAUGGACGAAAGUCUGACGGAGCAACGCCGCGUGAGUGAUGAAGGCUUUCGGGUCGUAAAACUCUGUUGUUAGGGAAGAACAAGUGCUAGUUGAAUAAGCUGGCACCUUGACGGUACCUAACCAGAAAGCCACGGCUAACUACGUGCCAGCAGCCGCGGUAAUACGUAGGUGGCAAGCGUUAUCCGGAAUUAUUGGGCGUAAAGCGCG